RNAcentral lists this ribosomal RNA (496 nucleotides) under uncultured bacterium. RNAcentral's name for it is "bacterial SSU rRNA". It matches the Rfam family "Bacterial small subunit ribosomal RNA", at positions 32 to 507 of the family's 1533-position model. The record is from RNAcentral.
CAACGCUGGCGGCGUGCCUAAUACAUGCAAGUCGAGCGGAAUGAUGAAGAAGCUUGCUUCUUCUGAUUUAGCGGCGGACGGGUGAGUAACACGUGGGCAACCUACCUUGUAGAUUGGGAUAACUCCGGGAAACCGGGGCUAAUACCGAAUAAUCCAUUUUGCUUCAUGGCGAGAUGUUGAAAGACGGUUUCGGCUGUCACUACAAGAUGGGCCCGCGGCGCAUUAGCUAGUUGGUAGGGUAAUGGCCUACCAAGGCGACGAUGCGUAGCCGACCUGAGAGGGUGAUCGGCCACACUGGGACUGAGACACGGCCCAGACUCCUACGGGAGGCAGCAGUAGGGAAUCUUCCACAAUGGACGAAAGUCUGAUGGAGCAACGCCGCGUGAGUGAAGAAGGUUUUCGGAUCGUAAAACUCUGUUGUAGGGGAAGAACACGUACGAGAGUAACUGCUCGUACCUUGACGGUACCUUAUUAGAAAGCCACGGCUAACUACGUG